UCGAUGGAUAGGGCUUCUGAGAGGAAGGUCCCCCACAUUGGAACUGAGACGCGGUCCAAACUCCUACGGGAGGCAGCAGUGAGGAAUAUUGGUCAAUGGGCGAGAGCCUGAACCAGCCAAGUAGCGUAAGAGGAUGACUGCCCUAUGGGUUGUAAACUUCUUUUAUAAAGGAAUAAAGUCGGGUAUGCAUACCCGUUUGCAUGUACUUUAUGAAUAAGGAUCGGCUAACUCCGUGCCAGCAGCCGCGGUAAUACGGAGGAUCCGAGCGUUAUCCGGAUUUAUUGGGUUUAAAGGGAGCGUAGAUGGAUGUUUCAAGUCAGUUGUGAAAGUCCAGCGGCUCAACCGUUAAAUUGCAGUUGAUACUGGAUAUCUUGAGUGCAGUUGAGGCAGGCGGAAUUCGUGGUGUAGCGGUGAAAUGCUUAGAUAUCACGAAGAACUCCGAUUGCGAAGGCAGCCUGCUAAGCUGCAACUGACAUUGAGGCUCGAAAGUGUGGGUAUCAAACAGG
RNAcentral lists this ribosomal RNA (506 nucleotides) under uncultured Bacteroidales bacterium. RNAcentral's name for it is "bacterial SSU rRNA". It matches the Rfam family "Bacterial small subunit ribosomal RNA", at positions 276 to 776 of the family's 1533-position model. Lineage: Bacteria; Pseudomonadati; Bacteroidota; Bacteroidia; Bacteroidales. The record is from RNAcentral.